AUUGAACGCUGGCGGCCGGCCUAACACAUGCAAGUCGAACGAGUUGCGGACGGGUUAGUAAUGUCUGGGAAACUGCCUGAGGGGGGGGGAUAACUACCCGAAAGAGUGGCUAAUACCGCAUACUAAUGGAGCGGCCGAUAUCGGAUUAGCUAGUUGGUGGGGUAAAGGCUCACCAAGGCAACGAUCCGUAGCUGGUUUGAGAGGUCGACCAGCCACACUGGGACUGAGAGACGGCCCAGACACCUACGGGAGGCAGCAGUGGGGAAUGUUGGACAAUGGGGGAAACCCUGAUCCAGCCAUCCCGCGUGUAUGAGAAGGCCUUCGGGUUGUAAAGUACUUUUGGCAGAGAAGCGGUAUCUGCAGAAUAAGCACCGGCUAACUACGUGCCAGCAGCCGCGGUAAUAC
RNAcentral lists this ribosomal RNA (405 nucleotides) under uncultured bacterium. RNAcentral's name for it is "partial 16S ribosomal RNA". It matches the Rfam family "Bacterial small subunit ribosomal RNA", at positions 30 to 526 of the family's 1533-position model. The record is from RNAcentral.